This 253-nucleotide ribosomal RNA is filed under the name uncultured bacterium. RNAcentral's name for it is "partial 16S ribosomal RNA". It matches the Rfam family "Bacterial small subunit ribosomal RNA", at positions 524 to 776 of the family's 1533-position model. The record is from RNAcentral.
UACGUAGGGUGCAAGCGUUGUCCGGAAUUAUUGGGCGUAAAGAGCUCGUAGGCGGUCUGUUGCGUCGGCUGUGAAAACCCGGGGCUCAACUCCGGGCCUGCAGCCGAUACGGGCAGACUAGAGUUCGGCAGGGGAGACUGGAAUUCCUGGUGUAGAGGUGAAAUGCGCAGAUAUCAGGAAGAACACCCGUGGCUAAGGCGGUUCUCUAGUACGGUACUGACGCUGAGACGCGAAAGCGUGGGGAGCGAACAGG